AUACGGCAGGUCCGGGCGUUAUCCGGAUUUAUUGGGUUUAAAGGGAGCGCAGGCGGAGAUGCAAGCGUGACGUCAAAUUUCGGGGCUCAACCCCGUCUCGCGUCGCGAACUGCGUCCCUUGGUUGCGGGAAGGGGAGGCGGAACUCGCGGUGUAGCGGGGGAAUGCAUAGAUAUCACGAAGAACUCCGAUCGCGAAGGCAGCCUUCCGGCCCGUCAACGACGCUCAUGCUCGAAGGUGCGGGUAUCAAACAGGAUUAGAUACCCUGGUAGUCCGCACAGUAAACGAUGGACACCCGCGGUUUGGCCUGUAUGGCUGAGCCGCCAAGCGAAAGCGUUAAGUGUCCCACCUGGGGAGUACGCCGGCAACGGUGAAACUCAAAGGAAUUGGCGGGG
RNAcentral lists this ribosomal RNA (393 nucleotides) under uncultured bacterium. RNAcentral describes it as "partial 16S ribosomal RNA". It matches the Rfam family "Bacterial small subunit ribosomal RNA", at positions 523 to 918 of the family's 1533-position model. The record is from RNAcentral.